GACGAACGCUGGCGGCGUGCUUAACACAUGCAAGUCGAGCGGUAAGGCCCUUUCGGGGGUACACGAGCGGCGAACGGGUGAGUAACACGUGGGUGACCUGCCCUCAGCUCUGGGAUAAGCCUGGGAAACCGGGUCUAAUACUGGAUAUGACUCCAUGACGCAUGUUGUGGGGUGGAAAGCCUUGUGCGGCUGAGGAUGGGCCCGCGGCCUAUCAGCUUGUUGGUGGGGGAUGGCCUACCAAGGCGACGACGGGUAGCCGGCCUGAGAGGGCGACCGGCCACACUGGGACUGAGACACGGCCCAGACUCCUACGGGAGGCAGCAGUGGGGAAUCUUGCGCAAUGGGCGAAAGCCUGACGCAGCGACGCCG
Molecule: ribosomal RNA, 369 nt
Filed under: uncultured bacterium
Lineage: Bacteria
Description: bacterial SSU rRNA
Rfam family: Bacterial small subunit ribosomal RNA
Source: RNAcentral